Molecule: ribosomal RNA, 254 nt
Filed under: uncultured bacterium
Lineage: Bacteria
Description: partial 16S ribosomal RNA
Rfam family: Bacterial small subunit ribosomal RNA
Source: RNAcentral
UACGGGGGGGGCAAGCGUUGUUCGGAAUUACUGGGCGUAAAGGGCGCGUAGGCGGCGCGAUAAGUUGGGCGUGAAAGGCCCGGGCUCAACCCGGGGACUGCGCUUGAUACUGUCGCGCUGUGAGUCCGGGAGAGGAUGGCGGAAUUCCAGGUGUAGCGGUGAAAUGCGUAGAUAUCUGGAGGAACACCGGUGGCGAAGGCGGCGUCCUGGACCAACACUGACACUGAGGAGCGAAAGCCAGGGGAGCAAACGGG